GACGAACGCUGGCGGCGUGCUUAACACAUGCAAGUCGAACGGAAAGGCCCUGCUUUUGUGGGGUGCUCGAGUGGCGAACGGGUGAGUAACACGUGAGUAACCUGCCCUUGACUUUGGGAUAACUUCAGGAAACUGGGGCUAAUACCGGAUAGGAGCUCCUGCUGCAUGGUGGGGGUUGGAAAGUUUCGGCGGUUGGGGAUGGACUCGCGGCUUAUCAGCUUGUUGGUGGGGUAGUGGCUUACCGAGGCUUUGACGGGUAGCCGGCCUGAGAGGGUGACCGGCCACAUUGGGAUUGAGAUACGGCCCAGACUCCUACGGGAGGCAGCAGUGGGGAAUAUUGCACAAUGGGCGGAAGCCUGAUGCAGCAACGCCGCGUGCGGGAUGACGGCCUUCGGGUUGUAAACCGCUUUCGCCUGUGACGAAGCGUGAGUGACGGUAAUGGGUAAAGAAGCACCGGCUAACUACGUG
RNAcentral lists this ribosomal RNA (468 nucleotides) under uncultured bacterium. RNAcentral describes it as "partial 16S ribosomal RNA". It matches the Rfam family "Bacterial small subunit ribosomal RNA", at positions 28 to 507 of the family's 1533-position model. The record is from RNAcentral.